GUCAGGGUGGCGGAACUGGUAGACGCGCUGGAUUCAGGAUCCAGUGAGCUAACGCUCUUAGGGGUUCAAUUCCCCUCCUUGACACCA
This 87-nucleotide transfer RNA is filed under the name Synergistaceae bacterium. RNAcentral describes it as "tRNA-Leu". It matches the Rfam family "tRNA". From Rfam's summary of the family: Transfer RNA (tRNA) molecules are approximately 80 nucleotides in length. The record is from RNAcentral. Lineage: Bacteria; Thermotogati; Synergistota; Synergistia; Synergistales; Synergistaceae. RNAcentral also lists the same sequence under 1 other name.